Long non-coding RNA from Myotis brandtii (Brandt's bat), 214 nucleotides. RefSeq lists it as uncharacterized. The transcript has 3 exons. Lineage: Eukaryota; Metazoa; Chordata; Mammalia; Chiroptera; Vespertilionidae. The record is from RefSeq and is a predicted model, not a curated record.
CAGUGGGAACAGAGAGAAAAAGACUGCCAGACGAAAAUGCUUUCCUCCCAGGCUCCCCCUGUGGCGGGAGCACCUCCACUGGUCACCUGGGGACCUGCGCUGAGCUCCCCACCUCUGCCUAUCAGGCUCCCAUCUCCUGCACCCUCUGCUCACCGGGGUUGUAAUUGUCUCUCAUCCCCUGCGGGGUUAUUUUGAGUAGGCACAAGGAGGGCAA